GUGUGCCCCGCCCCCCUUCUCUUCCCCCCCCCCCAUCUCGCGUCAUGGCAGCCUGUGGGGAGAAAGGCUUGGCGGGUGAGGGGGGGGGAGUUGGGGGGAGUGGAGUGAGGGAUGCGAUGGGGUGUCUCCUAUGCCCACACAUGCCCUUGUGUGGGGAGAAAGGAAAAGUGGUGGCUGGAGAGGAGGUGAACUGGAUGCCACAAUUCCACCAUCUGGGGGGUGGGGGUGAGGGAGCUCACCCUGCCUCGCCCCCAAAAUAAUAAUAAUAAUAGUAAUAAUAAUAAUAAUGAUGAUGAUAAUUCAGCCUCCAUAUCUGUUUUUCACAACAUUCCAUUUUCUUUUGUUACAGAAACGCUGAGGUCUCAAAUAGAGAAUAAAUGUUGACCAUUGCACAAGGCAAAUGUUGUUUAGUUGUUUAGUCGUGCCCGACUCUUCAUGACCCCAUGGACCAGAGCACGCCAGGCACUCCUGUCUUCCACUGCCUCCCACAGUUUGGUCAAACUCAUGCUGGUAGCUUCGAGAACACUGUCCAACCAUCUUGUCCUCUGUUGUCCCCUUCUCCUUGUGCCCUACAUCUUUCCCAACAUCCAGGUAUUUUCCAGGGAGUCUUCUCUUCUCAUGAGGUGGCCAAAGUAUUGGAGCCUCAGCUUCAGGAUCUGUUCUUCCAGUGAGCACAGGUACCCCAUUCAGGACCAGGGAAUCCUCCACACCAGCCCGCCUCCUGUCCCCCAAAAACAGUACUUCUGUCUUGUCAGGAUUCAACCUCAAUCUGUUAGCCGCCAUCCAUCCUCCAACUGCCUCCAGACACUCACACAGGACCUUCACCGCCUUCACUGGUUCUGAUUUAAAAGAGAGGUAGAGCUGGGUGUCAUCCGCAUACUAAUGAACACCCAGCCCAAACCUCCUGAUGAUCUCUCCCAGCGGCUGCAUGUAAAUGUUGAAAAGCAUGGGGGAGAGGACAGAACCCUGAGGCACCCCACAAGUGAGAGCCCAGGGGUCUGAACACUCAUCCCCCACCACCACUUUCUGAACACGGCCCAGGAGGAAGGAGCGGAACCACUGUAUGACAGUGCCCCCAGCUCCCAGCCCCUCAAGAUGGUCCAGAAGGAUGUUAUGGUCGAUGGUAUCAAACGCCGCUGAGAGAUCCAGCAGAACUAGGAAACAGCUCUCACCUUUGUCCCUAGCCCGCCGGAGAUCAUCAACCAUUGCGACCAAGGCAGUUUCAGUCCCAUGAUGAGGCCUGAAUCCCGACUGGAAGGGAUCCAAAUGGUCCGCUUCUUCCAGGCGUGCCUGGAGUUGUUCAGCAACCGCUCGCUCAAUCACCUUGCC
Podarcis lilfordi (Lilford's wall lizard) is the source of this 1329-nucleotide non-coding RNA. The record is from the annotation of a GenBank genome assembly. Lineage: Eukaryota; Metazoa; Chordata; Lepidosauria; Squamata; Lacertidae.